UACGUAGGGUCCAAGCGUUAUCCGGAAUCACUGGGCGUAAAGCGUGCGUAGGUGGCGUGUUAAGUGUGAUGUUAAAUCGUGUGGCUCAACCAUAUCGAUGUGUCGCAUACUGGCAUGCUAGAGGACAGCAGAGGCAAGUGGAAUUUGUAGUGUAGCAGUGAAAUGCGUAGAUAUUACAAGGAACACCAAUGGCGAAGGCAGCUUGCUGGGCUACUCCUGACACUGAGGUACGAAAGCGUGGGGAGCGAACAGG
Molecule: ribosomal RNA, 253 nt
Filed under: uncultured bacterium
Lineage: Bacteria
Description: partial 16S ribosomal RNA
Rfam family: Bacterial small subunit ribosomal RNA
Source: RNAcentral